CAUCACCUCUAGCAUAUCAAGUAUUAGAGGCACUGCCUGCCCAGUGACUAACGUUAAACGGCCGCGGUAUCCUGACCGUGCAAAGGUAGCAUAAUCACUUGUUCCUUAAUUAGGGACUAGAAUGAAUGGCUUGACGAGGGUUCAACUGUCUCUUAUUUCCAAUCAGUGAAAUUGACCCUCCCGUGAAGAGGCGGGAAUAAAAAAAUAAGACGAGAAGACCCUAUGGAGCUUUAAUUUCUAACUUAACUUUUAAAAUCACAUACCUAAUGGACCAAAAGACAUAAAAACUUAAGUUAAAAUUUCGGUUGGGGUGACCUCGGAGAAUAAAAAAACCUCCGAAUAAUUUUAGCCAAGACAUACAAGUCCAAGCAUUUUAAAUUUAAUUGACCCAAAACCUUUUUUGAUCAACGGACCAAGUUACCCUAGGGAUAACAGCGCAAUCCUAUUCAAGAGUCCAUAUCGACAAUUAGGGUUUACGACCUCGAUGUUGGAUCAGGACAUCCCAAUGGUGUAGAAGCUAUUAAUGGUUCGUUUGUUCAACGAUUAAAGUCCUACGUGAUCA
This 562-nucleotide ribosomal RNA is filed under the name Peromyscus attwateri (Texas deermouse). Its description in RNAcentral is "partial 16S ribosomal RNA". It matches the Rfam family "Bacterial large subunit ribosomal RNA", at positions 1814 to 2606 of the family's 2925-position model. The record is from RNAcentral. Lineage: Eukaryota; Metazoa; Chordata; Mammalia; Rodentia; Cricetidae.